GGGGUUGUGGCUCAAUGGUAGAGCGCUUGCCUAAUAUGUGCAGGGCGCUAGGUUCGAUCCUUAGCACCACCC
This 72-nucleotide transfer RNA is filed under the name Ictidomys tridecemlineatus (thirteen-lined ground squirrel). Its description in RNAcentral is "Spermophilus tridecemlineatus (thirteen-lined ground squirrel) tRNA". It matches the Rfam family "tRNA". Rfam says of the family: Transfer RNA (tRNA) molecules are approximately 80 nucleotides in length. Their secondary structure includes four short double-helical elements and three loops (D, anti-codon, and T loops). Lineage: Eukaryota; Metazoa; Chordata; Mammalia; Rodentia; Sciuridae. The record is from Rfam by way of RNAcentral.